Molecule: ribosomal RNA, 305 nt
Filed under: uncultured bacterium
Lineage: Bacteria
Description: partial 16S ribosomal RNA
Rfam family: Bacterial small subunit ribosomal RNA
Source: RNAcentral
ACAGCAGCAGCCACGGGAAUACGUAGGGUGCGAGCGUUAAUCGGAUUUACUGGGCGUAAAGCGUGCGCAGGCGGCCCGUUAAGACAGGUGUGAAAUCCCUGGGCUCAACCUAGGAAUUGCGCUUGUGACUGGCGGGCUCGAGUACGGUAGAGGGGGGUGGAAUUCCUGGUGUAGCAGUGAAAUGCGUAGAGAUCAGGAGGAACACCGAUGGCGAAGGCAGCCCCCUGGGCCUGUACUGACGCUCAUGCACGAAAGCGUGGGGAGCAAACAGGAUUAGAUACCCCUGUAGUCCCUGUCUCUUAUAC